ACCCGAGACUCAGUGAAAUUGAACUCGCUGUGAAGAUGCAGUGUACCCGCGGCAAGACGGAAAGACCCCGUGAACCUUUACUAUAGCUUGACACUGAACAUUGAGCCUUGAUGUGUAGGAUAGGUGGGAGGCUUAGAAGUGUGGACGCCAGUCUGCAUGGAGCCGACCUUGAAAUACCACCCUUUAAUGUUUGAUGUUCUAACGUGGACCCGUGAUCCGGGUUGCGGACAGUGUCUGGUGGGUAGUUUGACUGGGGCGGUCUCCUCCUAAAGAGUAACGGAGGAGCACGAAGGUUGGCUAAUCCUGGUCGGACAUCAGGAGGUUAGUGCAAUGGCAUAAGCCAGCUUGACUGCGAGCGUGACGGCGCGAGCAGGUGCGAAAGCAGGUCAUAGUGAUCCGGUGGUUCUGAAUGGAAGGGCCAUCGCUCAACGGAUAAAAGGUACUCCGGGGAUAACAGGCUGAUACCGCCCAAGAGUUCAUAUCGACGGCGGUGUUUGGCACCUCGAUGUCGGCUCAUCACAUCCUGGGGCUGAAGUAGGUCCCAAGGGUAUGGCUGUUCGCCAUUUAAAGUGGUACGCGAGCUGGGUUUAGAACGUCGUGAGACAGUUCGGUCCCUAUCUGCCGUGGGCGCUGGAGAACUGAGGGGGGCUGCUCCUAGUACGAGAGGACCGGAGUGGACGCAUCACUGGUGUUCGGGUUGUCAUGCCAAUGGCACUGCCCGGUAGCUAAAUGCGGAAGAGAUAAGUGCUGAAAGCAUCUAAGCACGAAACUUGCCCCGAGAUGAGUUCUCCCUGACUCCUUGAGAGUCCUGAAGGAACGUUGAAGACGACGACGUUGAUAGGCCGGGUGUGUAAGCGCAGCGAUGCGUUGAGCUAACCGGUACUAAUGAACCGUGAGGCUUAACCUU
RNAcentral lists this ribosomal RNA (907 nucleotides) under Escherichia coli. RNAcentral's name for it is "partial 23S ribosomal RNA". It matches the Rfam family "Bacterial large subunit ribosomal RNA", at positions 2024 to 2925 of the family's 2925-position model. Lineage: Bacteria; Pseudomonadati; Pseudomonadota; Gammaproteobacteria; Enterobacterales; Enterobacteriaceae. The record is from RNAcentral.